Long non-coding RNA from Oncorhynchus masou masou (cherry salmon), 487 nucleotides. RefSeq lists it as uncharacterized. The record is from RefSeq and is a predicted model, not a curated record. NCBI's taxonomy places the organism in Eukaryota, Metazoa, Chordata, Actinopteri, Salmoniformes, Salmonidae. The transcript is spliced from 2 exons.
CAUUUUUACAGAGGACAGGAGGCUGACGUCAACCGUAAAGCUGCUAAAGUCUGUGGGGAAAUGUAUUAAUUUCAGCCGACUGCAGAACCGUUAGAGGACAAAGAAUAUACUCUACAAUGAUUACUGUUCUCUUGGUUAUUAGCAAAAUAUUUUUUUUAAGAUAUAAAAAUACCCCAAAAAAUCCCCAAAACCACAAUCCAUUUGCUUCACUCUAUAUCUUCUCCAUGAUAUCUCCUGUUUUCUCAAAAAAUCAUACUCAUAAAAACAUUUACAUUUUUCCAUCCAUCAAUAACGGCGACAUAUAAACUUCAUAUUUUUCCACUUGUCGUAUUUUUAAAAAUAAAAUAUUUUUUUAAAAAAAGUUGUAUUUUCUUUCACAAGAAGCCAAAGUGAAUAAAAGUACUGGACAAAAUGGCCGCUCGGAACCAGAUUUUUUUUUUGUAAAAAAAAAAAAUUGCACCAAACGAUUAAACAUAUUCUGACCAUA